Long non-coding RNA from Cygnus atratus (black swan), 844 nucleotides. RefSeq lists it as uncharacterized. NCBI's taxonomy places the organism in Eukaryota, Metazoa, Chordata, Aves, Anseriformes, Anatidae. The record is from RefSeq and is a predicted model, not a curated record. The transcript has 3 exons.
AGAUAUGAUAAGGGAGGGUGAUAAGAGUGAUCCACCUGGGCUCUUCCCAGAAAAGAAGUCCGAAAGCUAAGUUAAGUCACCUUAGCCUCAUCAAAGAGAAAACAGAUCACUGAGGAGCAUGUGGGCAUUCUUCAGAGGACCAAGUCAAGAAACGUUCUGUCAUCCAAGGAACUGCAUCAGAUCAUAUCUGGUGAUCAUGCACUGACUCCAUAGCAGAAUCCAAGACUGGGCCUUCCUGCCUGCCUCCCCACAGACUCCCUCCAGCUAUACCACUUGUACUUAGUGUAUCCAUCUCUGAGCGGAUUGCAAAAGGGAAGGAAUCUUCUUUAAAAGAGAGGCAUGGACUUCUCGCUCUUCUCUCCCCACAGCUGUAUCCAGGGGUGUGCUUGUAAACUCUUGUUGCUCCCCAGAAGACUGUGCAAUGCCUCAUUCUCCCACUGAGUUUAAAAUUUUGCCUUGACCUGAGAGACACUGGGGGAGAUCAUUGUCUGCCACUAGGAGGAAAAAAAUACUUUGUUGAAACAAAGGAAAUUUCAGAGAUGAGGAUUAAGUUUGACCAACCAUUUGUUGAAGCAAAGAAGAAAGAUAGUUGGAAAUUAAAAGAAAUUUGACCAAAUUCAGAACUCUCCAAAAUGGAAGGCAACUGGAGAUAAUGUGGUCCAGUUCCAUACCUAAAUCAAAGUCAAUGCAGAUUAGGUUGUUCAGGCCCAUGUCCAGUUGAGUUUUGGAUCUCCUCAAGGAUGGGAAAAUCACAACCCCUCUGAGAAGGCUUUGACUACCCUCACAGCCCCAAAGAUUUUAUUUAAUACAGAAAUUGAACUUCCUGUAUUUCAAUCUGUAGGAC